Molecule: ribosomal RNA, 547 nt
Filed under: uncultured fungus
Lineage: Eukaryota; Fungi
Description: eukaryotic LSU rRNA
Rfam family: 5.8S ribosomal RNA (bases 188-341)
Source: RNAcentral
GUCGUAACAAGGUUUCCGUAGGUGAACCUGCGGAAGGAUCAUUACUUAGAGUUUGUGGACUUCGGUCUGCUACCUCUUACCCAUGUCUUUUGAGUACCUUCGUUUCCUCGGCGGGUCCGCCCGCCGGUUGGACAACAUUCAAACCCUUUGCAGUUGCAAUCAGCGUCUGAAAAAACUUAAUAGUUACAACUUUCAACAACGGAUCUCUUGGUUCUGGCAUCGAUGAAGAACGCAGCGAAAUGCGAUAAGUAGUGUGAAUUGCAGAAUUCAGUGAAUCAUCGAAUCUUUGAACGCACAUUGCGCCCCUUGGUAUUCCAUGGGGCAUGCCUGUUCGAGCGUCAUUUGUACCUUCAAGCUCUGCUUGGUGUUGGGUGUUUUGUCUCGCCUCCGCGCGCAGACUCGCCUUAAAACAAUUGGCAGCCGGCGUAUUGAUUUCGGAGCGCAGUACAUCUCGCGCUUUGCACUCAUAACGACGACGUCCAAAAGUACAUUUUUACACUCUUGACCUCGGAUCAGGUAGGGAUACCCGCUGAACUUAAGCAUAUCA